This 586-nucleotide ribosomal RNA is filed under the name uncultured archaeon. Its description in RNAcentral is "bacterial SSU rRNA". It matches the Rfam family "Archaeal small subunit ribosomal RNA", at positions 293 to 879 of the family's 1478-position model. The record is from RNAcentral.
GAGAUGGAUUCUGAGACACGAAUCCAGGCCCUACGGGGUGCAGCAGGCGCGAACACUUUACAAUGCGGGAAACCGCGAUAAGGGAACCCUGGGUGCCAGCACACAGUGUUGGCUGUCCAACUGUUCAAAAAACAGCUGAUAGCAAGGGCCGGGCAAGACCGGUGCCAGCCGCCGCGGUAACACCGGCGGCCCGAGUGGUAACCGAUUUUAUUGGGCUUAAAGCGUUCGUAGCCGGUUUGGAAAGUCUCUUAGGAAAUCUGGCAGCUUAACUGCUAGGCGUCUAAGAGAUACUGUUAAACUUGGGACCGGGAGAGGUAGGAGGUACUCCAUGGGUAGGGGUGAAAUCUUGUAAUCCUUGGAGGACCAUCGAUGGCGAAGGCAUCCUACCAGAACGGGUCCGACGGUGAGGGACGAAAGCUGGGGGCACAAACCGGAUUAGAUACCCGGGUAGUCCCAGCUGUAAACGAUGCUCGCUAGGUGUCGGGUACGGUGCGUCCGUAUUCGGUGCCGUAGGGAAACCGCGAAGCGAGCCGCCUGGGAAGUACGGUCGCAAGGCUGAAACUUAAAGGAAUUGGCGGGGGAGCAC